Molecule: small nuclear RNA, 106 nt
Organism: Octodon degus (degu)
Lineage: Eukaryota; Metazoa; Chordata; Mammalia; Rodentia; Octodontidae
Source: Ensembl
AUACUCACUUCAGCAGCACAUAUACUAAGAUUGAAAUGAUACAGAGAUUAGCAUAGCCCCUGCACAAGGAUGACAACAAUCUGAGAAACUGAGAUGGCACUGUUAU